Molecule: long non-coding RNA, 579 nt
Organism: Heterocephalus glaber (naked mole-rat)
Lineage: Eukaryota; Metazoa; Chordata; Mammalia; Rodentia; Bathyergidae
Source: Ensembl
GUUCUACAUGCUAACAGAAAUUUCAUAGUAACUGUACAUGAGGUUGGAGGAUCUAAUAUUGAAGCUGAUAAUAGAAGCAUUAAUGUAAAAACAGAACUUAUUUUUGUCAAAAAUGAGAUGUACGCUUGUCAUGAUUUAAGUAUGUUGGCCUCUUGUGUUUAUUGCUAUUUUGAGACAUGCCCACUUUCCUUCCAGUCAGAGGGGAGCAUGACUCGACUGGAGACAAAAACCAAAUGCAUUUCAAGAAGAAAAGGGAGAAAAGGGCAGAGCCUCCUCUGUGAUGAGCAUGGGUACCAUAUUCUCCGCAGAGCAUGGCCCGCCCAGCCCAGCUGCUGUACUAGGCCAGAUACCACAUGUCCCUUCAGGAUGGUGGGAGUACUUAACCCUAGUUCCUGGGAGCCAGACCACUUCCUGCAUUCCUGGUGCUGCUCUGGGAUUUCCAGGGAGCAGAUGCCAAGACAGGACCCAGCGUGGAGGAUUUUUAAUAGGGGAACCACCUGUGUGGGAGAAAGCAGGGAGGUGGCCCUAAGGCUGGGAAAGUGCAACCAGGGUGAGGUUCUCACCGUGAGUACAGUAGAG